Long non-coding RNA from Malurus melanocephalus (red-backed fairy wren), 519 nucleotides. RefSeq lists it as uncharacterized. The transcript is spliced from 4 exons. Lineage: Eukaryota; Metazoa; Chordata; Aves; Passeriformes; Maluridae. The record is from RefSeq and is a predicted model, not a curated record.
GUGCUAUGGUGUUAGGAAUAAAUGAUGCAGUCCUCUGCAGGCUCAUAUAAAAAGUCAGCUAAGCUUAUGGACUCCAGAAAUAUUUUUAAAUCGCCACUUUUAUUGAGCACUAUGUGUUCUCAUUAAGCCAGGGCAAGAAAACAACUUGGACAGCAUAAAAGCUUAUGCAUCUUGAAGAAGGCAACAAAUCAAGAUUCUGACUUUUCAAGAAGAGAUGCAAUUACAUAAAGAAGGUGSGGUGGCUGCACAUAACUGUGGUGUUUUCUGUGAAGAUGAGAAUGGACCAGCUACUCUUGUGCAGAUAAUAUCUUCAGACAGGCUGGACACCAUCUGUCACAGUCUGAUUUAAUUUUAUGGUCACAGCAAAGUGAACUGACGGUGUGGAAUUUUUCACAGAAGUCAGCUGGAAGUGUGUCAUGGUUUUCAGUAAUUGAAGGAACAGAUUAAAUAAUUUCAUGUACAUUGCAACACUCCUGUUUCUCCAAKACUUGGAUGCUUGAAGCUAUUCAUCAAGUUCAU